This 1645-nucleotide long non-coding RNA is filed under the name Homo sapiens (human). Its description in RNAcentral is "HSALNT0179973". The record is from RNAcentral. Lineage: Eukaryota; Metazoa; Chordata; Mammalia; Primates; Hominidae.
UUUAGUUCAUUAAUAGUGCUGACUAUAAGAGCUCUUCAGUCCUUUCCUGCUGGGCUACAGGCCAGUGGUUACCAAGAUGUUUCAGCAGUCAUGGUGCCUCAGAGCACUGUCUUGGAAGGAAGAAGGUGCAUAAAAUGGAAAUCACAUUUAUCAAGUUCUAUGCUGCUGCUAGUGCUGAACAGGAUACCUUAAAUAAAUAUGCCUUUUAACACUGACAAUCCCCAGUGCUUGUUAUAUCUACUUUAUAGAAGAAAAAAACUGAGGUUCGAGGUGGGUUCCUUCAUUCAUAUAUUUAAGUGCCUCCUAGGGACCUCAGUACUGGGGACACUAAAAUGUACAAUAAAGACCCUGUCCCUGCCUCACAAAGCUUGCAUCCUUGUAGGGGAGUGUCAAUUCAACAACCACACAAGUAAUUAAUUAAUUAUGGUAGGGAAAGUGAAAAUGCUGUGAGAACAAGUAGCAGAGGGAGCCAACCCAAUCUGGAGAUCCAAGAAGACCUCCCGGAGGAAGCGAGAUUGAAGUUGAGACCCGAGGAAUUACUCAGGAGGGGGGCAAAUGAGCACUCCCCACACCAGCACCACGGAGCCCCAACAGCAGAAGGAAGCAUGGCCUUUCAAAGAAGGGAAAACAUGCCAGGACAGGUAGAGCAGAGGCCAGAGGUGGAACUAUCAUAAGGUGAAGCUGGUGAGAUUAGUACAGCCUCAGCCACCAGCGCCAGCCUUGCAGACCAAGCAAGGAUGUUGGACUUUAUUCCAGGAAGUGGCGGAGAAACACAGCAGUCCUUCAGGAGGUCAGACUUUCUAGUAAGAAGCAAGUGAUCAAAUCGAGGUUGGAGUCUAAAGUCCAUGCUUUUUCCACUGUACCCAGCACAUUUAUGUGAUGGAAAAAAAAAAAAAAAAGUCUGCAGGUGUGAUUGAUUGAUAGGAUCUUCUAGCUCACAGAAAGAGUCUGGAGUAGAAGGAAAGCCCUGGAGUAAGAGUCAGAAAUCUUGAGUUCUAGUUCUGCCUCUGGCCAUUCCUAAUUGGGCAGCUUGGCUACGUCUUUUUACCUCCACAGACCUCAAUUUCCUUACUUCUAACAGAAAGGGUUGGACUAAAGCCAUGCAUACCCCAUAGUAAAUACUCAGUAAAUCUUAGCGGCUACUUCUAUCAGCCUCUUUGCUCUCUAAUAUUCUCUGUCAGUAUAAAUUCCGUGACUAUGAUUGUACUUUUUCAGAUUCUCACUUACCAGGCAUGGUCAUCAACCUUAGUUAUCUCUAGAGUAAGGUGGUAUAAUUAUUCUUUUGACAUAAUCCUGGAAUUCUCAAAUAACAUUUAGGAACUCUCAUCUCCAGAAGGAAUCCUGGAUUUUAUGGCUCACUUAAAUGUUCACAUAAUUGAUUUUCCCCUCUUACAGUAUUUAUCCAUAUAACCCACGGGCAGAAAUUGAAUUAUGGUUCUGAAGGGACUUACUGUUAUAAUAUUGGCAGAGUUUUCAUAGGUUAAGUGAUAAUUAAAGUUUAAAUUUCACAGAGGUCACACAGCUUUUAAGUGUGAUUCCCCCCACCACUAUAUUAUAACAAAGACAAUUUGGUUUUUGAAAUGCAAGAUAAUCUUAAACAAGAAAUUAUUUUCUACAUUAUAUGUAAAGUUGUGCUUGCUUUUAU